AAUAGACGUUCUCUACAGGAGGAAGGAUGAAAAGAAAAAAGCUAACAGAUUGAAUGGACUGCUAGCCUUGGUCUACAGAGGCUAUUAGGAUGGUUUCUACGGCAGACAGGUACUAGAUCAAACCAUGGUCAAUACCAGCAUGUUCUAAGCCAGAUUGGAAAGAAGUAAGUGCAGAUAAGUCACUGCAAGCAGAUGGCAUCCACCUGAGAGAGCUGCGGGAGCUCAUGGAUGAAAUUGGGAUGGUUGGUUGGCAGGAGUGUGGGACAUGUCAGCGCAAAUGGCCCCUGUGCUGGAGAGGAUGCCGGCUCACAGAUGUGACCCCGGCCAUAAGAGCGCCUCGGCAGGGCCUGGGGAACGAGGGCACAGAUGAGUCGGCUCUCAGCCUCCAUCUGGACCAAGCUGGUGGCAAGUGGAAUAAAGAAGAGAAGGCUGUGGACUUAAAAAUAACCUACAGGGUGAGGAAUGAAUGGGCUGUGGGAGCAAGAAUGGUCACACAGGUGUGCCCAGAGAAAUCACACCCGAUGGCUGCACUGGAGUCCUCCUAGGCCGGAGAGGCGGGAAGUGAAAAGAUAUUAAUUAGCAGUGAUUUCAACAAGAUUGGAAGUCCGUGGACUUUGGCUCAGAGAGAACUCUGCAAAGGUACCUACAUCCUUCAGAGGGUUUUUCUUUUUUUUUUUUUGCUUUUAAUGGCAUUUUGUUGUUUGCUAAUCCCUGGUGUGGGCAUGUACUAGA
This is a long non-coding RNA of Equus caballus (horse), 732 nucleotides long. The record is from Ensembl. Lineage: Eukaryota; Metazoa; Chordata; Mammalia; Perissodactyla; Equidae.